UACAGAGGUCCCAAGCGUUGUUCGGAUUCACUGGGCGUAAAGGGUGCGUAGGUGGUUGGGUAAGUCUGAUGUGAAAUCUCCGGGCUCAACCCGGAAAUGGCAUUGGAUACUAUCCAGCUGGAGGGUCGGAGGGGGGACUGGAAUUCUUGGUGUAGCAGUGAAAUGCGUAGAUAUCAAGAGGAACACCAGUGGCGAAGGCGAGUCCCUGGACGACUCCUGACAUUGAGGCACGAAAGCUAGGGGAGCAAACAGG
RNAcentral lists this ribosomal RNA (253 nucleotides) under uncultured bacterium. RNAcentral describes it as "partial 16S ribosomal RNA". It matches the Rfam family "Bacterial small subunit ribosomal RNA", at positions 524 to 776 of the family's 1533-position model. The record is from RNAcentral.